This 240-nucleotide unclassified non-coding RNA is filed under the name soil metagenome. RNAcentral describes it as "partial contains 5.8S ribosomal RNA, internal transcribed spacer 2, and large subunit ribosomal RNA". The record is from RNAcentral.
AACAUCGCGCACCUGCGGGAACCUGCGGAGGGAUCAUUACCGAGUUGGGGUAGUCACUCACUGCCCGACCUCCCAACCCUGUGUCUACCACACUUUGUCGUUGCUUCGGCGGACCGGUUGACCAACUGGUCGUGACCGCCGGGGGCUGGUUCUGUCCCCCCUUGGAGAGCGUCCGCCGAUGGCCACACCACAAAAACUCUCGUACCGAAACGUGUCGUCUGAAUUAUAUUUGAGAAAUCA